Molecule: ribosomal RNA, 292 nt
Filed under: uncultured bacterium
Lineage: Bacteria
Description: partial 16S ribosomal RNA
Rfam family: Bacterial small subunit ribosomal RNA
Source: RNAcentral
GUGUCAGCAGCCGCGGUAAUACGAGAGGUCCAAACGUUAUUCGGAUUUACUGGGCUUAAAGAGUUCGUAGGCGGCUAAGUAAGUGGGGUGUGAAAUCCCUCGGCUCAACCGAGGAACUGCGCUCCAAACUACUUAGCUAGAGGAAGAUAGAGGUAAGCGGAACAGAUGGUGGAGCGGUGAAAUGCGUUGAUAUCAUCUGGAACACCGGAGGCGAAGGCGGCUUACUGGGUCUUUUCUGACGCUGAGGAACGAAAGCUAGGGGAGCAAACGGGAUUAGAUACCCUCGUAGUCC